RNAcentral lists this ribosomal RNA (465 nucleotides) under uncultured bacterium. RNAcentral describes it as "partial 16S ribosomal RNA". It matches the Rfam family "Bacterial small subunit ribosomal RNA", at positions 338 to 795 of the family's 1533-position model. The record is from RNAcentral.
CCUACGCGCGGCAGCAGUGGGGAAUAUUGCGCAAUGGGCGAAAGCCUGCCGCAGCGACGCCGCGUGAGGGAUGAAGGUCUUCGGAUCGUAAACCUCUGUCAGCAGGGAAGAACGGUCACUGGGCUCAUCAGCAGUGAAUUGCCGGUACCUGCAACGGAAGCACCGGCUAACUCCGUGCCAGCAGCCGCGGUAAUACGGAGGGUGCGAGCGUUAAUCGGAAUUACGGGGCGUAAAGCGCUCGUAGGCGGUAAGUCACGUCAAGGUUGAAAUCCCCGGGCUAAACGUGGGAACUGCCUUUGAAACUGGCAAACUGGAGUGCGGGAGAGGAUAGUGGAAUUCCAGGUGUAGGAGUGAAAUCCGUAGAUAUCUGGAGGAACAUCAGUGGCGAAGGCGACUAUCUGGCCCAUAACUGACGCUGAGGAGCGAAAGCGUGGGUAGCAAACAGGAUUAGAUACCCUAGUAGUC